RNAcentral lists this ribosomal RNA (234 nucleotides) under Bacillus velezensis. RNAcentral describes it as "partial 16S rRNA. Bacterial SSU". It matches the Rfam family "Bacterial small subunit ribosomal RNA", at positions 1 to 223 of the family's 1533-position model. Lineage: Bacteria; Bacillati; Bacillota; Bacilli; Caryophanales; Bacillaceae. The record is from RNAcentral.
CUUUAUCGGAGAGUUUGAUCCUGGCUCAGGACGAACGCUGGCGGCGUGCCUAAUACAUGCAAGUCGAGCGGACAGAUGGGAGCUUGCUCCCUGAUGUUAGCGGCGGACGGGUGAGUAACACGUGGGUAACCUGCCUGUAAGACUGGGAUAACUCCGGGAAACCGGGGCUAAUACCGGAUGGUUGUUUGAACCGCAUGGUUCAGACAUAAAAGGUGGCUUUGGCUACCACUUACA